CUCUUCUCUCCCAUAUUCCCUUCAGUCUCCCACACACUGAGUAAGCUCUGGCAAUGUAGGCAUCAACCUCAUCACCUGUGUGUACAUCCCUGGAAAGUACACUGCCAAGGGAAACCUCAGAAGACUUGUAUGGACUGAUGCAAAGGAAAGGGAGCAGAACCAGGAGAACAAGCUAGAUUAUGCUGAUGCCAUUGUAAAGAAAAAGAACUCUGAAGGACUGGAGAAUUGCAUUCAACAUAAGGAGCAACCCCAAUUCUGGAGGACCAAAGAUGAAUCAUACCAGCCAUCUACUGAGGCACUGGCCUCAGGAUGCAAAUUGAGAAGCUGGCUGUUUUGGACAAGGCCAUUGCAGAAACUUGUACCUGACUCUGCAUAUUUGUUAUAAAGAUCUGGUCUCUCUUUCUUUUUCAGUCGGGGGUGGGGAGGUGGACAAAAUAGAUUUUUGUUUAUUGAAAAUAAAUGUAAAAAUCAUGGUUUAUGAGUCUGAUACUAUCGCAUAGAGAAAACAAAUUCUUGUUAAUUGAAAAAUUAAAUAAAGUUUUAAAACACAA
Molecule: long non-coding RNA, 551 nt
Organism: Phascolarctos cinereus (koala)
Lineage: Eukaryota; Metazoa; Chordata; Mammalia; Diprotodontia; Phascolarctidae
Source: RefSeq, a predicted model, not a curated record